This 250-nucleotide ribosomal RNA is filed under the name uncultured bacterium. RNAcentral's name for it is "partial 16S ribosomal RNA". It matches the Rfam family "Bacterial small subunit ribosomal RNA", at positions 524 to 773 of the family's 1533-position model. The record is from RNAcentral.
UACGAAGGGGGCUAGCGUUGCUCGGAAUCACUGGGCGGAAAGGGUGCGUAGGCGGGGCUUUAAGUCAGGGGUGAAAUCCUGGAGCUCAACUCCAGAACUGCCUUUGAUACUGAAGAUCUUGAGUUCGGGAGAGGUGAGUGGAACUGCGAGUGUAGAGGUGAAAUUCGUAGAUAUUCGCAAGAACGCCAGUGGCGAAGGCGGCUCACUGGCCCGAUACUGACGCUGAGGCACGAAAGCGUGGGGAGCAAAC